Long non-coding RNA from Bubalus bubalis (water buffalo), 3464 nucleotides. RefSeq lists it as uncharacterized. Lineage: Eukaryota; Metazoa; Chordata; Mammalia; Artiodactyla; Bovidae. The transcript is spliced from 2 exons. The record is from RefSeq and is a predicted model, not a curated record.
GACUGUAGCCUGCUAGGCUCCUCUGUGCAUGGAAUUAUUCAGGCAGGAAUACUGGAGUGGGUUGCCAUUUCCUUCUCCAAUUGAGUCGGUGGUGCCAUCCAAAUAUCUCAUCCUCUGUUGCGAAUCUUUCUUAAGUACUCCUCCCCUCACUUGCCCACGACUGGGCAGCCACACACAUGCACAGACUCCCACGACUCUCUCUCUCUAGAUUCUUCUUCCAGGUUCAUUACGUUUUCAAACUCCCUUCUAACUCUUGCAUGGCAGUCAGGGUCUGCUGUAAGGCUUGCGCCCACAUGGACUGAAUUAAAAGGAUAAACAAAUGUAGAUUAUAACCAAACCACGUGAAACUGGGCAGGUGGUGGACUUUCAGUGAGUGAGGGGCUUGAUCAGUCCCUUGAGAAGGGCGCUCUGGGAGGAUGUGGACCCUUGUUGGGGGCAGCUCUCAGCAGAUCACAAGGUCACCUUCACAAGAUCAGGGAAGUCAUCUGCACUCUCUAGAGCAGAUGAGAGGGCUGGCGGACCUGUGGGUGCCCACCCGCCACUGGACCCACAGCCCCACCUGUGGACCCCUUAAUGCAUCUGGGACACAGCUAACCAGAUGCACGUUGCUUCUCUGCCUGUUUGAUUCUAAAACUUUUUUUUAUCCCCCCAGAUGAAACCCCCCAUGAUGGUUGAUUUUAAGUGUCAACUGGGAUUCCUGGACAGCUGUUGAAAACAUUAUUUCUGGGUGUGUCUGUGAGGAUGCUUCUGGAAUAGAUUAGCGUUUGCAUGGGUGACUUGACUGGAGAAACCUGCCCUCACCAAUGCACACGGGCGUCUCCCUGUCUGGGGAGGGCAUGGAUAGACAAUAAUGGCAGAGAAAGGGUGAACUCUCCCUGCUCUCCCAUCUCUCCUGCCCCGACAUUGAUGCUCCUAGUUCUUGGCCCUUCUGGGAACUAUGCCACCCAUUUUCUGGGCCCUCAGCUUACACACAUCAGGCUUGGGACUUCUCCGUCUCCAGAAUUAUUCGAGCCAGACCUUCAUAGUAAAUCCCUAUCUUCUCUCUCUCUAUUCUCCUGGUGCUGUUUCUCUGGGAAAUCCUUGCCUAUAGAACCCCAUUCCUACUAAGAAUUCACUCCCUACCUUCUCCCUCUAGCCACUGGCUACCAUUCAUCUACUUGCUAACUCUAUGGAGAUUCCUGUUCUGGAGAGUGCAUAUCAAUGGAAUCAUAUAGGUGGGCUUUUGUGUCUGGCUUAUUUCACUUAGCAUCAUGUUGUCAGCGUUCAUCCGUGUGGUACUUCCUUCCUUUGUACUGCUACAUCAUAUUCUGUUGUACAGGUAGACCAGCCUUUAUUUGUCCAUCCAGCCUUUGAGCCUGCCCAGAGCCUCUGGGUGUCUUGAGGGCUUCAUCGUGAGGGGCCUUCAGGAUUGAGAGCUGCUGGAAAGUGACUUUGUGUGACCUCGGUGCCUAGAACAGCGCCUAUGCAGAGGGCAUAUCCAGCAGGCGUUGUUUAGCCACUCAGUCGUGUUCGACUCUUUUGCAACCCCAUGGACUGUAGCCAACCAGGCUCCUCUGUCCAUGGGAUUCUUCAGGUGGGAAUACUGGAGUGGGUUGCCAUUUCCUUCUCCAGGAGAUCUUCCCGACCCAGGGAUGGAAUCCGCAUCUCCUGAACUGGUAGGUGGAUUCUUUACCACUGAGCCACCAGUGAAGCCCAGCAGAUACCUGCUGAAUAGCGCGUGGAUGAAUGAGUGAGCAUGUGCUGGGAGAAAUGAUGAGUGUCUGUGCUCUAAGCUCCUGGGGGGAAGAGGGGGUGUGCCAGCUGCUAAAACCACUUUGGGGAGAAAACAACGCAGAGCUCUGGGGGACAAGCCUGGGACUGGGAGCCAGGAACCUGGCCAUGGUUCUGACGGCACAUUGACUUUGUCAGUUACUUAGAAAAGAGAAGCGAGUUUCCUGUUGCAGCUGUAACAAGUCCCCACACGCUCUAUGGCUUAAAACCGCACACGUGUCUUAUCCCACAGUUCCGGAGGUCAGAAGCCUGACUUGAGUCUUUGGUCUAAAAUCAAGGUGUCAGCAGGGCUGUGCCUCUUCUGGGGGUUUGGGGAGAAGACCUGUUUGCUCGCCUUUUCCAGCUCCUAGAGGUGCCCAUAUGCCUUGGCUUGUGGUCCUUUCGUGCAGCCUCAAAACCAGCAGGGUACACAUCUCUGCCCCUUCUUCUUCCAUCUCAUCUAUGCAGCCAAGAAAGCCUCUCCCCUCCUAAGGGCUGGGGUGUGAUCGGAUCAGGACCAUCAGAUAAUCCACCAUGAUACUGCAUCUCAAAAUCUUUAAUUUAAUCACCUCCGCAGCAAACCUUUUCCAUGUAAGGUAGCGUACUCCCAGAUUCUGGAAUUAGGAUAUGAACAUCUUGGAGUGGGGGCUUUAUUCUGUUGACCACAGAAGCCUCUUGGCCUGAGGCUCGGUUUCCCCAGAGGAGGGGAGGGACGGCAGACAGUUUCCAAGAUGCUUCCCAGCUCUUGGUGCAGGUCAUCACAGCAGGAAAGAAUGAGGACUCCUAACUUAAUGAUGGAGUUCUAUAUCAUUGGAGCAGAUGCCUGGAGCUCGCCCCAUCUGGAAGAUGCUCUCUCAGACGUUUCCACUUGUUUUCUUCCUGGCUCCUAUCGCUGGCCUCUGAGAGCAUCGCCUCCUCUUUUCACAGGUGAGGGACGUGAGCUUCAGGGAAGCCAGGUGAAGCCCCUGAGAUGACCUGUCUCAAAAAUGGGGGCCUGACUGCCCCCAAACACCCUGCCUCAUCGCGUCUGUCUAACUCUGGAGCUGUGGAGUUCUCCAGUUUACACUUGGUGAUUUUGGAGAAAUGCAAACCACUUUAGGUUUUUUCUUUGAAGAUGGAGCUGCAAGAGAAACUACUGAGCAGUGGGCCACAUCUGGAGCUCCUAGCGCAGAAACAUCUGUGUCUGUGUGUGCACAGCUCGGGUCUGGGUGCCCCCUCUCUCAGGCUGGCACCUGUGGAUCCUGCCAUGUGCCCAGGAGACCAGCACAUGGGCACUGCUUCUCAGAUGAGGAACAGAGAGAUUACCAAGCCCCCAGCAACGUGCGAUGAGCAUUUCUUCUCAACCAAGUUCUCUGCUCCACCUCUGGCUUCUCCAUGGGUCUUAUGGAUCAGCCCCAAAGACGGAAGGCGAUGGGAGGGGAGCACAUAGAUCCCGUUGGCUUGGCAACUGCCCUUUCAACAGUUUAGUUGUUUCAAGGGACCCAGCGAGCUCUCUGAGCGGAGGGAAGGAUGGCGCACACAUGACUGUAAGGGCUGGCGCCUGAGUCCUCUCUGCCUGCUGAGCCUUGGAGAGCUACCGCCUGAGGAUGAACCCAGGAAGCCCCGAGUGGGGCUCCCUGGCAGAACCCCAGGGUGGAGUUGUCCUUCCGGGUCCCCUUGUUGGAACUUUGUGGGUGCCGUUUGGGAUCUUGGCGGUCCUGUUCAGAGAAUACAUG